UGCCUACGCCUGUGAUCUCACAAAGCGGUUUAUGGGUCAGGGCCAGAACACCUCAUGGUGUGAGUGGUCACACCAUCAGCCAUAGGACCCCUGUCUUUUGCAGAGGGGAAAGAGAAUGGGGUUGAGAGCCAGCUUUCUCCAGAUCGGGAGACUAUAAACAAGGCAGUGCAAAUACUCAGACAAGAUGCCAUAGAUUACACUGACUGUUUUGGACCCUAGCAGCAGCAAAUCCUUCAUUCGGGGGCCACCAAGCGCUGGAGUUACACCUCCAAAACUUCAGGAUAACCACAUCUGAUUUUGCUUUCAUGUUGAUGCCGAUCUCAGAAGUAUGAUCAGUUCCUGUCCUGGCCUCUGUUUCACCCACAGUUAGAUCACCUGGUCUUGAGGGUAUCAUUUGCAAGGAAGUCACUCUGUAGUGCCUCUCAAAGUGAAUCCAGCCUUGGCUUUCUGCCAGGGUGCUGUGAGUUUUUUUAUCAGCACUUUGCAAGCAGUAUCAGGAGAAGUGUCGACUGCAUUUCUGCAGCUGCUGGCUGGUGUGGGGAUGCCUUCAUCUCCUGUCAUGAACUGCUGGAGUGGGGCAGUUGCAAGCUUUGUGCUUCUGACUCAGUGAGAACUGUUUUGGAUGUUGUUGAACAUUGUCGCUUUUGCAGGAAUUUUAGAAGCACUCAGCAAAGCAUUUUUCUUUCCAUAAACUACUUUAGCUCUAGCUAUGAGCUAUGAAAUCAACUCCAGGAAAGAUGUGCUUCAAGAGUUGUUAUCAAAAUAUCAGCUCAGCAGUGUCCAUGCCAGUAAAGCGAAAUGAGGCAAUGUAUGUAUAGAUAUAUAAUUCCAAUGGUACUACUCAAAGUGGGUGAGCAGACAUAAUAUAAAACUGCCUUACAUUUGGAAGAUGUAAAGAAGACAGAAGCAUACCCUGCCAAGCACCACUUCACAGGUGUGACUACAAGGACGGACUGAGUGGCAUCUUUAAGAAAAACAGAUUUAGCAGGGACGUGCAUGAAGUUCACACACUAAGCUGGAGGACACAGAUUCCCUUAUGUUGGCCCCAGCUUGUCCCACCCAAGUUAUGGUUUGUUCCUUGGAAGAAGUUUCUCUCUCCAUUGCCUGUGUUCCUAAUAGGGCACCUCAAGUUUGGGGACAAAAAUCUGUGUCUUUCUGUGCCUAACAACUACCUCUCUUCUAAUCCUUGAUGUACCGUGAGCUUUCUGUAAUGUCCUGCUUCCAGCAAGGUGCUUUUAAUUCUUCUUAGGGAGCAGUAGCCACUUUUAGCUCUUCUGAAUAACUUUCUCCAGUAGUUUUUUUCUUUUUGGCUGGUUUGUGACAGUUUGUGACUCGUGAGCUAUUGCUAUCGAGUUUGUUAUCAAAGGCUCUGUUCUCAUGCUUCUAAUGGUAUUUGUGAUGGAAAAUAGAUGCUUAGCCUUCCUGUUUUGCUGGUAUCCCAAGGCUGAUGAAAUCUGACAGCAGGUGUCUAGAUAUCACCAGAGCAGAGGUCUCCAAUCUUUUCCGUUUUUUCCCCAUGGCACAGACUGCAUUUAUAAGCUCAAGCUUUUGGUGAACUGCUUUUAGGAGCUGAGAUCUCAUUUAUUAACUGGCUCAGAUCCAUUCAAUGAAAAUAAAGGACAUGCUAAGCUCUGCA
This is a long non-coding RNA of Anser brachyrhynchus (Pink-footed goose), 1636 nucleotides long. The record is from Ensembl. Lineage: Eukaryota; Metazoa; Chordata; Aves; Anseriformes; Anatidae.